CAUAUGGUAGGAGAGCGUUCCGUAAGCCUGAGAAGGUGUCUUGUAAAGGAUGCUGGAGGUAUCGGAAGUGCGAAUGCUGACAUGAGUAGCGAUAAAGAGGGUGAAAAGCCCUCUCGCCGAAAGCCCAAGGUUUCCUGUUCAACGUUCAUCGGAGCAGGGUGAGUCGGCCCCUAAGGCGAGGCAGAGAUGCGUAGCUGAUGGGAAGCAGGUUAAUAUUCCUGCACCGUCGUAUGAUGCGAUGGGGGGACGGAUCGCGGAAGGUUGUCCAGCUGUUGGAAUAGCUGGUUUUUGACUCAUAGAAGGCGCUUAGGCAAAUCCGGGCGCGUAAUUCAAGGGGUCGAGACGUGUGUCCUUGUGACACGAAGCAAUCGGAAGUGGUUCCAAGAAAAGCCUCUAAGCUUCAGUCAUACGAGACCGUACCGCAAACCGACACAGGUGGGCGAGAUGAGUAUUCUAAGGCGCUUGAGAGAACUCGGGAGAAGGAACUCGGCAAAUUGGUACCGUAACUUCGGGAUAAGGUACGCCCCGGUAGCUUGAUUGGUUUACUCCAUGAGGGUGAAAGGGUUGCAAUAAACUGGUGGCUGCGACUGUUUAAUAAAAACACAGCACUCUGCAAACACGAAAGUGGACGUAUAGGGUGUGACGCCUGCCCGGUGCUGGAAGAUUAAAUGAUGGGGUGCAAGCUCUUGAUUGAAGUCCCAGUAAACGGCGGCCGUAACUAUAACGGUCCUAAGGUAGCGAAAUUCCUUGUCGGGUAAGUUCCGACCUGCACGAAUGGCGUAACGAUGGCCACACUGUCUCCUCCCGAGACUCAGCGAAGUUGAAAUGUUUGUGAUGAUGCAAUCUACCCGCGGCUAGACGGAAAGACCCCAUGAACCUUUACUGUAGCUUUGCAUUGGACUUUGAACCAAUCUGUGUAGGAUAGGUGGGAGGCUUUGAAGCGGGGACGCCAGUUCUCGUGGAGCCAACCUUGAAAUACCACCCUGGUUCGUUUGAGGUUCUAACCUUGGCCCGUGAUCCGGGUCGGGGACAGUGCAUGGUAGGCAGUUUGACUGGGGCGGUCUCCUCCUAAAGUGUAACGGAGGAGUUCGAAGGUACGCUAGGUACGGUCGGACAUCGUGCUAAUAGUGCAAUGGCAUAAGCGUGCUUAACUGCGAGACCGACAAGUCGAGCAGGUACGAAAGUAGGACAUAGUGAUCCGGUGGUUCUGUAUGGAAGGGCCAUCGCUCAACGGAUAAAAGGUACUCUGGGGAUAACAGGCUGAUUCCUCCCAAGAGUUCAUAUCGACGGGGGAGUUUGGCACCUCGAUGUCGGCUCAUCACAUCCUGGGGCUGUAGCCGGUCCCAAGGGUAUGGCUGUUCGCCAUUUAAAGUGGUACGUGAGCUGGGUUUAAAACGUCGUGAGACAGUUUGGUCCCUAUCUGCCGUGGGCGUUGGAAAUUUGAAGGGGGCUGCUCCUAGUACGAGAGGACCGGAGUGGACGAACCUCUGGUGUACCGGUUGUCACGCCAGUGGCAUUGCCGGGUAGCUAAGUUCGGAAGAGAUAACCGCUGAAAGCAUCUAAGCGGGAAACUCGCCUUGAGAUGAGAUUUCCCGGAGCCUUGAGCUCCUUGAAGGGUCGUUCGAGACCAGGACGUUGAUAGGUCAGGUGUGGAAGUGCAGUAAUGCAUUAAGCUAACUGAUACUAAUUGCCCGUACGGCUUGUCCCU
This 1708-nucleotide ribosomal RNA is filed under the name Telluria mixta. RNAcentral describes it as "partial 23S ribosomal RNA". It matches the Rfam family "Bacterial large subunit ribosomal RNA", at positions 1222 to 2925 of the family's 2925-position model. Lineage: Bacteria; Pseudomonadati; Pseudomonadota; Betaproteobacteria; Burkholderiales; Oxalobacteraceae. The record is from RNAcentral.